GCAUCAAGUGCUCUAGUCUUUAUAACGCUAGAGUAGUAAUUAAUAGAUUAGACGUGGUGUUUAGUCUUGCAUUUACCUGGAAUUGCACCCAAUUCUGCGGAUUGUUGUGGUAGCCUUAGGGUAGUGACAGCCCUAACGGUCGACGUAUUCCACCACGUUCGGAUCGGUGUUUGUAGGACUGUAGUCAGACCUUCCUAGCCCCCUUCUCAUCUCUUUCUGUGGUUAGUGCUCUGAUGUCCCGAUAUAGAUAAUCUUGAAGUAAUUCUUGAUUCUUAGAUCAACUAGAGAACUCUGAGGAAACUUCCUCUCUUCCCACCAAAAAUAUUCAUAUAGUUAUCCUUAGGCGAUCUUGGAUCUUAAUUAGUACACUCACGUUCUCUGUGGAAAAUCGAUACUCUGGAAUACUCCCGGGUGAAGGCUACAUCGGUAUCCGUGCGCUUGCGGAUUUUUCUGUUUGCGUUUAAAAUACCCAACAAGCUUUCUGGCGCCGUUGCCGGGGAUCGGUAGCUGUGCUAGUUUCGAACCAAGUCGUCCGUGUAUUCUUUUUCUUUUCCUUUUUUUACCACACUCACCUUAUCACUUUCACCAUACCACAUGGAUUUCACUCUAAGCAUUAAUGAGCAUGGAAUUUAUUUCAUAGCCACUUCAUUUACUCCAUGCUCAUAUGCAACAUCUUCACAAUCCAUUGGUCUCUCCAACAUCACCACAUUCGAGAUCUCCAACCCCCACUUCCUUUCUAUUUAUAAAAACUUUAAAAGGGCGGUUGUCGAUGCAUAUGUCUAUAAAAAAUUUUGCAGAUCUCGUUGAGUUGAUCUUGAUAUAGGUCAGCGUUGGAGGGGAAACCACUUCGCCGACAUAAAUUGAUGGUUUCCCAAGGACAAGCUUAGUGUCCUAAAACAAACACUGAUCAGAUCGUAACAUGAGCUUUUAAUUAUUUGCAACAUUACCUUGUGUGUUGAGCAUAUCAGGAUAAUUAUAAAAAUAUUCCUUCGGGUAUUCUUGUCACUAACCUUUUCAGGAUUGGAGCAAGAAGAUCGGAUGAAUGACAAGCACAAGGUAUGUCCAACCAACCAUCAUACAACAUUGAAUUAAAUUAUCCAAACUUGAAUUUUGCAAAAUUCAAGCUUGGGGGAGUACUUUACAUAAAAACAUCCUUUGCCAUGUUGCUAUGUUGGUUGUCCCGACCUUUGAGACAUGCUCAAUCUGUUAAAUACUAAUCACACUACUUCAUCUCCACUUGAGUAGAUCUCUAUAAAUGCUCUCAUGCUACCUUUAUUUGCUUUAGUAUAUGUCUAGGCUUGGAGUAGUUUCAUUUGUCUCUUAAUUAAGCAUGGUGCUUAGUUUAGGGCUGAUGAUCUUACUUCCAAGGGAGUUUAAAUUAAGCAUGAUGCUUAAGUUAAAAUGCCCUCCUAAAUCAAAUUAGACUUGGUGUCUAGGUUGAUCUUUGAGCCGAUAGUAUGCUAUAGUAGAUAUUGGAUAUUUUGUUGGACUAACCCCUGCAGGAAAACUUUCAAUAUCGACUUGGGAAGUCCUGAGAUAAACUCACAUUGGAGACAAAGAGAGAGACACAUGAAGUUUAACAAUUUACACAAGGAAGGCAUAGCUCACAAGAGAUGAUCCAUGGAGGGUGCCACAAACACGAUGCACAACCACUAAGAAAGAAAAGCUUCCACAAGGUGAUAUUGUACCAUCACUCUUCAAGUAAGGUAACAUCUUAAGGUACUUGACUAUCACUUUUAUAAAGCUUCUCCUUGGUUCUGGCGUUCACAUGAAUAAAAAAGACAAACAUAUAUGAUUUACAACUCUAGAUUAACCAACCGAAUCGAUUCAAUAUGUUUAGUCAUUUCAUCUCUGUGAUCCCACACUCCUAAUCAUAUGAACUAAAAUGUUGCACACUUAAUCUUUGGAAAAUGAUAGUCAUGUAAAGAAAAAAAAUUUACUUAGAUAGAUUAUCUUUCCAUAAGGUUGAGUGAUCUGAUCUGACAAAUGUUUUAAAUGUUACACUCAUGGUCUUAUUAUCCAUCAACUUUGUCUUUCUCACUAUGCUUAAGGUUAGAGAGAACAAAAACACUUUUGGUUCUGUUGGUGUUUUCCACCAACAGGGCCCAUGCACUUGAUCUCUGCCUUGUCUCUAUGAGCAGGUACACUUUGAGCAAAAUAUGAAGGACUUUUACAACUCUCAGACUCCACCAAGUGAAGAACCUAGAUCUACGAGCACAAACACACUGGAGAGACUCGACACUCAGGCAAUCACUGCCCUGAGAUGCUUGAGGACGUAACUACUAGAGUAACCCCAUUGUGGAAGUAAUUACUAACCUUCUGCCGGUCAAGAGAGACAAUCCAGGACGCCCCGUCAUCCCGAUCUCCAUCCGCAUGGUGGACUUCCUAGAAGCACUCUGCGACUUUGGCUCCAGCGUCAACAUUAUGCCCAUGGUACUCUGUGAAAAAAUCUUUACAUAUCCUUUAUUGGAAACAACCAUGUGUUUGCAGCUUGCAGAUUGGACGCUAAGUUUUCCAAAGGGAAUAUUAAGGAACCUCUGCGUCCGUGUUGGUACCUUGUACGCUCCAGCAGACUUCAUGGUGAUAGAGACUGGUACUGAUGAGAGGGCACCCAUCAUUCUAGGGAGGCCAUUCGUGAACACCUCGGGAGUAGUCAUCCACACUAGUUCUGCCAAGAUCAGUUUCUACAUCAAGAGAACGAAGGAGACGUUUUACUUCAAGAACAAAACUACACCAAUCUCAGAGCAAUCCUGACAUGAACCAAGGAAAGGACCAACAGGAGGAACAGAAACAAGCAAUUGUGGACUGAGUCAGCUAAGAUGGUCACUGCUGCUCAAGGAGGUCAAGAUCGUCAACUCAAGUUGCCUUUCUUGAUCAAGAAGGAUGACGUUGGUGUUCCAAGCAUCGAGUGCACAAUCAACGGAUAUUUUUUCAGAAGAUACUCUACGACACCGGAUCUGACGUCAACAUAAUGGCCGCAGUCACUUAUCAGCUCCUGCAUGGAACCAUGCCCCUACAACCGACAUACAUUCAGCUCUAGAUGGCAGAUCAGACAUUCCGUAAGGUUAUUGUCAUGGGAGAAGACGAGUACAAUCCACCCAUCAUGCUUGGAAGACCGUUCCUCAGCACCGUUAAAGCAAUCAUCUACAUUGGAACCGGAGAAGUCCACAUGAACUUCCCCUCUGAGAAGGCACGCCGCUAGUUUACUAACCCUAACUAUAUAGUUGAAGACUCUAAGCAGGUUAGGACAAGAAGAAGACGACGCAACCGCAACCCAAGGAGGCAAAUCAUCAAGGACGGAUGAGCAAACUACGAAGGAGAAGUAGUAAGGUCUGAAGACAUACAGCUUGAUCAGAACUGUCCUGAGGAGACCGUAGCACCGAGUCAGGUGUGGAGAGAGAAGAUAGUUAUACAUGAAGAGGAGGCGCCGCCGGAACCACCGACUACGCCAUCCAGCGAUCCUAGGACGACUGUAGAAACGGAGAGUCCCCGUUCGGAGGACUUAGACACACCGUACGCCCUGCCCAAGAGGUAAGCUUGGUAGUUAUCUUUCCCGUUCAAAUAUUUUAAAAUAGUUUGCUUAGUUAAUCAGGUUCAUAUCAUCUUGAAAAGAAAAUAAAAAUGUUAAAAAUAGUAAGCCCCAUGUAAGUAUGCUCAUGGCAUAAAACCCAUAAGUACAUUCACUGUGGUGGCAUAAAAAUAAAAUAAAUAUAUUCCUGUCCUAUAAAAAUAAAAAUAUAAAAAUAAAUUUAUGAUCCUACUAAAGAGAGUAACAUUUAUUCGGGAGACUCAACAUGAUAAAGGCUAAAUAUUUAUGCUAACACUUAACUAGUUCCACAAAGCUUUGUUGUCUAUUUGAGCUCCACAGAAUUCAAGGAUCAAAGAAGUCUAGCAGACGGAGGAUAUCCUAAUUGCUGUCAAAGUGCUGCCGACAUUCAAAUACACCUCUGCCACCUGCUAGCUACAUCAGACGAAAUUACAUCAAAAUCCAGCUUGGGGGAGAGCACCCCCAUUUAAUCAGCUAAGUGUUCUACUCACGUUUAUACUUUACUCAAAUAAUAAAAAGAUGCAUAAUCAUAAAAACUCAAAUAAAGAUUUUGUGCUUAUAUAUAUCUUUGCUUAGUCUGCUAAAUAAAUAAAUAAAUAUAGUUUGCUAUGAACCCUCAUGGUAAGCUCUCACAUGGAAAUGAUGAAUAGUUGCUCUGCCAUGACUAGUUCUCAAAAUUGAAAUCUCUCUCAAGUUUAGGCAUGACUGUUAUUAAUUAAGAUUUGCUCUAAACGUGAACUUGUGGGAAGAGUACUUGAUCUAAAGUCUAAGUCGUUAACGGAUAUGAUAUGGGAAGGUUGAGCUGCUGUUUAUCUGUUCCUAGAGAUGCUAGAAUUCUGGAGAAUUUUAUCUUUGAAAAUCUUUAAAAUAUUGUAUGAUGAGUUCCUGUAUGAUGAGAGUUUAAAUUCCUACCACAGCCAUAUAUACAUGCUUAUUGGACUAUGAACCAUUCAUUUACUUUUUACUGCUUAUGAGCAUUUAGUGUAGUCAAGCUGUGUAGACCCUUAGGAGCUUGUCAUGUGGUUAAGUCAAGAUUCACUUGCACGUUCACUCACACAUGCUGCUUCUACUCCGGAAGUACGCAUCCACAUAUAUCCACCCAUUUCCAUAUCCAGAAUCACCUAAAAAUAUUCUACUCCUAAUCCGGGAGAGAAUAGCCAAAAACAUUUUUGUUUUUCCCUGUGAAAUAAAUGCUCAAGUUAUCUUGGUUACUACCACUUGCUAUAUUAUUUCAGGAGAUGUGUGCUCUAAAAAAAGAGAAAAAAAAGAAAGAAUACGAGGAAAUAAAAAGGGGCAAGUGCCCGGAACCUCGAAAGAAAAGAAAAAAGUGAGACGAGAGGUAAAAAUGGACAAGUGUCCGACAGUAGAAUUAGGGGUACAAGAUACCCACCUGAGAGAAAAGAAAAAAAAAGAAGAAAAGAAAAUAUAGAGCAUCUCAUUCCCCUCAAAAAGUUUCAAAAGAGCAAGAAAGGUAUGUCCCCUCAAAAGAGCACAAGUAGAAUUAGACUUUCACCAUUGUUAUCAGCAUCAUCACCAUACAUCAUUCAUUCGCCACACAUGCGCAUCUUGAUUUGACUUAUUGACUUGUUCUUCUGGAUCCAUGGUUUGACUAUACUAUAAAUGUCUUGUAAGUAUGUAUUAGCUGUCUCCCACCUAUGAGCUCCAGAUAUCAAAAACCUUAUUAGAGUAGGGUGAGAGAGAAGGCAAUGCCACUAUGCCUCAUACUAAAAAUACCACAUACUUUGAGAGAAGGCAUACACCUUUAUUGCCUUGGUAAGGAUCCAGAAAUACCAUAAAAGAGAGAUAUGAGACAGUCAUACAAGGAAUCUCUGAGUUUUAUUUGAAAAUCUGCAAAAACUCCAGAGCUAUAGUUAAUCGAAGAACAAGAGAUAUGGUGCUUGACUAGACUAUUCUAUCUUUUAAAUACUCAAGACAGAAGUGACGGUUACAAGUCCCAUGGUGAAAGGUAAAUGAGUAAGUUUUAAGUCUUAACAGUUUACUCUAACCAGAGAUGAGAUCUUGUUUAAACGCAUGUGUAUCUUUAAGUUAUGAAACCACUGCAGAAACUCUUGAGUUCAUCUUUGCUCAGGGACGACAAAGGUUAAGCUUGGGGGAGCUUAUUGACGGUCCUUAAUGCUCACAAUUAACCAUCAACUAAUCAUAGAAAAGGAUCCAAAUGCAACCAACACCUAGACUUAGGGUUUUAUCUGACAGAAUUCCACGAGUUUUGGUGUUUGUCUAUUUCUACAGGGGGUUAUCAGGAAAUACGGAAGAAAGGCCCACACGUCGGGUUUACAUAGAGAUAUUAACAUGUCGCGCAAUUUUCUAUCAUCUAGAAGACUCCAGAAGCCACAGGAACGAACGGGAAGGAAAUCGGGCUCGGAGGCAGGGCGCCCGCCCAACUCUCCUGGGCGCCCGCCCAGCUACAGUGCCCAAUCAGGACACGUUUCGCGGAUUAUGCUCCACCGACCUAAAGGAUCAAGGAAAACCGUGCGAUCAAUGUCGGUUUGAUCCGACGGCCCAGAUUCACUUGAAGGGACUAUAAAACCAGACCCCCCUGGCCCCUGGAGAUCAUACCUCUUCUACAGAAUCAAAGCUAGGGUUUCAAUUCUUCAUCCAAGUAGAGAGGAUCCCUCUAGUUCUUCUAGUUCUACCUCUAGUUCAUCUAGAUCUAGUUCUAGUUCAUCUAGUUCUAGUUCUAGUUCCUCUAGUUCUAGUUCUAGUUAGUUCUAGUUGUAAUCUAGAAAAUAGGGAGAGAGAAGAGGAGAGCGGAGGAGGAGCCGGAUCUGUCGGAUCUUCCUCAACAUUAUACUUUUGCAGCAUCUGGUUCGUUCUUCAUCGUUCUCGAGGUUCUUCAACUCAUAAUUCCUGAGUUCUUUAAUUACUUUUAUUUACAUUCAAGUUAUUUAUUGGAUUCCCGCUUGCAUCAAGUGCUCUAGUCUUUAUAACGCUAGAGUAGUAAUUAAUAGAUUAGACGUGGUGUUUAGUCUUGCAUUUACCUGGAAUUGCACCCAAUUCUGCGGAUUGUUGUGGUAGCCUUAGGGUAGUGACACCCCUAACAGUCGACGUAUUCCACCACGUUCGGAUCGGUGUUUGUAGGACCGUAGUCAGACCUUCCUAGCCCCCUUCUCAUCUCUUUCUGUGGUUAGUGCUCUGAUGUCCCGAUAUAGAUAAUCUUGAAGUAAUUCUUGAUUCUUAGAUCAACUAGAGAACUCUCAGGAAACUUCCUCUCUUCCCACCAAAAAUAUUCAUAUAGUUAUCCUUAGGCGAUCUUGGAUCUUAAUUAGUACACUCACGUUCUCUGUGGAAAAUCGAUACUCUGGAAUACUCCCGGGUGAAGGCUACAUCGGUAUCCGUGCGCUUGCGGAUUUUUCUGUUUGCGUUUAAAAUACCCAACACCGACAUGUGGGCCUUUCUUCCUUAUUUCCUGAUAACCCCCUGCAGAAACAGGUAAACAACAAAACUCGUGGAAUUCUGUCAGAUCAAACCCUAAUUCUAGGUGUUGGUUGCAUAUUGGUCCUUUCCCUUGUUUAUUUGAUAAUUAAAAUUGAUACUUAAGAACCGUCAAAAUAUACCCCCAUACUUAGGCUUUUACUCGUCCUCGAGAAAAGGAUGUUUAAGAAAAAUAUCUGGGGUAAACAUUUAAAACAUUCUCUUUAUAAUUGUAGGGUGUUAAAAAUCCACUGUGUACCAUAGUCAGGGAAGUUUAUGGUUAAGAGUAAAGAUCCUUUCUUCUCAAUCCUGUUACUUGGCGUUUUUUGUAUAUUUUUGAAAGAAAGUUAGCAUACCUUUUAUCCUCAUAGGUUCUUCUCAGAUCACUCAUUAUCUUUUAUAUAUCUCACUGAGGUUGUUUUAAUUUGCAAAAAUUCUCAAGCAUACUUACUUUGCAUUUAUUGCCUGAUCAAAACGGGAUCCGAGGACGGGAAUGUCAUACUCUUAGAUCAAAGACUUUGGAAAUUAAAAUCUUUGUCAACUCUUGCUAGCAUAUUGCUUAUUAGAGGGACCAUGGGCUAUCAUUUUCUCUUUUUUCUCUUUUUUUUUAAGUGGAUACCGAGGUACCCCUAAUUCUACUGUCGGACACUUGUCCAUUUUUUUCUGCGAGGUUGUCGAGCACUUGCUCCUUUUUAUUUCCUCGAAAUAUCUCUAUUUUUGCAUAGCCCAUGCCUCUAAUGCAAUAAUACUUCGGAAGAGUGAAUCUUUCUGAAUAAAUGUCUUGAUCUUAGGAGCAUGAUAAAUCUCUCAACAAGGGUCUAACUCAUUUUCAACAAACUCAAUACCAAGUAGAUAGCUUUUAUAAUCAUAAUUAAUAUUUUCAGUUUUAUCAGGCAUAUAAAACACUGAGGAUGGUAGCUAGAAUUUUGAAAUAAAUUCUCCAAGCAACAAUGAUAUCAAGAGUAAGAAACUCAUACUCUACCAUCUCACAUUCCAUACUGUCUUAAGUAACACAGGGUUUUGAAAUGAUUUUAUAAUAGUUAUAAGUUUUAGGAAAUACCAUAGAGUGAGAUUAAUCAUGAUUAGAAAUAUUUUAAUCUUUUUAAUUUAUCAUGUCGGAAACAAUAUUCUGCAUAAUCCAAGAUAUAUGUAUGUGUAAAGUAAAGUGUGCAGAGUGUGUACCUGACUCGUGGAGUGGUGUAGUUGGAGUGUGUUUGGCAUGUUGAGGGAUCUCCCCCAUACUUGUUUUCUACUUUCUUGCACAAAAAUAAAGUAGAGACACACAAGACAUAAUAAUAAUAAUAAUACUCUUUAUUAAUCUUGAGGCAUUUAUUACAAAAGACUAGUAGUAAACUGAUAGCAAACUGAUGAUAAUAGUAAACCUAAACCGAAUUUAAAGAUAGAUGACUAAGAUGCAUUGCCUCAAGGUCUAAUCUAAAUAACUUAGCGGCGCUCUAAUUUCUUAAUCUUCUUGUUGGCACUGGCAAGAUCAUGCCUAAGGCCUAGUAUAACGGUGUUGUGGUUAGAGAGCUGUCUAGUGAGGGA
This 8524-nucleotide long non-coding RNA is filed under the name Sorghum bicolor (sorghum). RNAcentral describes it as "long non-coding RNA (SBIC_LNC000728)". The record is from RNAcentral. Lineage: Eukaryota; Viridiplantae; Streptophyta; Magnoliopsida; Poales; Poaceae.